CACCCCCCCACCUCCCUUACCAAACUGCCCUGCCUGCAACCCUGUUCCAGUCAUACUGCAGCUCUGGGUCUGCCGUAUGCGAUCCGGCUCGCUCAGUGUUAACUCCUGAACCUCGAACCCCGAACCCACUGAAACUCACUGUGACGUGACCCGUGGACCCGAUGCCUUAGCCGUAGCCAGAUCCGCCGCCUUCGGCAGCCCGAACCCCGCUUCCUCUCCGUCUCCCGGCCGAAGCUCUUCCGCAGGCGCCUGGUUCCGUCCCGACACCUCCGAUCCAUCCUCUUCCUCCUCCUCUUCCUCCUCAACGUCACCGUGUAGGAGCGGAAGCCGCACGUUCGCCUGCGUCUGCGGAAGUCCCUCACGAGCCUCAAACCCCUCACUUACCCUCCGUUGUCAUAGCGACAACCCCCCCCCCUCCUUCCUUUUACAGAAAAGCAAACCAAAAAUAGCACUAUGUUAAUCAAAUUGUAUACUUAUGUAAAAUACUAGCGCGUCGUCGUGUAGAGAUCUUAGACUAGCGGACUUUUUGGACUACGCCCGGGCGGGUUUCCUCUGGGACUAAGAGAGAGAGAGAGAUUGGCCUGGCCACGGGGACUUGCUUCCACAGACGGCCCGCCGCGGCCAACGUCGCCGCCCCCUCCGACGGGAAUCGACUCGGGACGGACAGAAUCUUUUUUUUUCGGAAAUUCCACAUUUGAAUGUAGACUGCUCCGUUUAUUUCCCUUUACUGGCGGCGCGUUGCUUUACCGUGGUUCCAAAGUUUACAACCGAAUCGAGCUCGGGCGCGCGAGCGUGUGACUCUCAGAAUGCGGCAGGGCGGUAGUCCCAGACCUUCGUAUCCAGGUAGCAUGUGGCCCCCAAAUUAAGGGACAUGAGUAUUCAUCCCCUGAGAGAGGAAAUGACCCGCAACUCGGCUUGGAUUUGUCCUUCCUCCCUCACACGUACGCGCAAACAUGAAUGUGUACAGUGAGACGCACACACACACACUCACACACACACGCGCACACACACACACGGGCGCACUCGCAUUUACAGCUACAGUACACGCCUGUACUCAGAGACACGCGUGUUCCCUGGAUCACAGACACGCAGGUACACGUGUUCCCUGGAUCACAGACACGCAGGUACACGUGUUCCCUGGAUCACAGACACGCAGAAACACGUGUUCUCUGGUUCACAGACACACAGGUACACAUGUUCCCUGACUCACAGACACGCAGAAACACAUGUUCUCUGGCUCACAGACAUGCAGAAACACGUGUUCCUUGGCUCACAGACAAGCAGAAACACAUGUUCUCUGGCUCACAGACACACAGGUACAUGUGUUCUCUGGCUCACAGACACGCAGGUACACAUGUUCCCUGACUCACAGACACGCAGGUACACAUGUUCUCUGGCUCACAGACACACAGGUACACAUGUUCCCUGACUCACAGACACGCAGGUACACAUGUUCUCUGGCUCAGACAGACACGCAGAUGUAUACGUGCAACAGUAGCAGUGGGCGGGGCCAGGGAGUACAUGCUUUGCAUAUCAGGUUCGUCUACUCUCACUUCCCUCCAUUAACCACAACACACGCACACACACACACAAUGUAAUACAUGCAGAUGACAUCACAUCACAGGAAAACCCAAACAGAUAUGCCCUGUAUACUAGCAGCACUAUGAGUUGACUGGAAUCUUACAAAUCUGAAGUAUGGUGGAAUCUGGCACCUUCUACCUGCAUUAGAAACUUGCUUCGUGUGGAGGAUUUAAGGACGUUACUCCAGCCAGUGGACUACCCCUGUGCCGCCUCCUUCACGCUCAUCUUUGUAAACCACACGAUGCACGUCUGGAACAACCGCGGUAAAAACAUAACCGUACCAUUUGGCGGUAAGGGUAGGGUGACCGGAUGUCCUGUUUUUCCCAAGACAGCCCUAUAUUUCAGCUCCUCCGAUUUAUUCUGAGAAAAUCUCAAUUUGUUACGUAUUUCAGUCCGUAUGUAUUUUUAAAAUUAAAAUUAAAAUGGCUGUAGGUUCUCAUUAGCCUUACACGGUACUCCAGGGAAUUUGGUCACCCUACCAAAGUUCUCUCAGGGUUUCUCGUUCAGAAAAGACAUUUUCACGGCGGCAGUGUCAAAAAAAAAAAAGAGCAGACCCAGAGAUCGAUGUUGGAGGGAAAAUACUCCAUGCAAACGACAUGUUGAAUUCAAAUUAAGUUGGAGGCUACCGCAAAUGUCACUGUCACACCCUGACAGUGGCAUUGUGUCAUUAAUGUGUGCUUGGAGGCCAAGUAGCUCAGUACAGUAGCACUUAGAGGAGGAGCCAGUCUCCUUGUUGUCUUGAUCCUGCCGAACAACAGAGAAAUGGGCGGAGCUCCAGACUCUCUGAAUCCCCACAGGUUACCUGGAACAGGUUGCGCCGUUGAUUGACAGCUUUGGGCUGAGGCCAAACGGAGCCAUUGAAAAGCAGACAGCCAGGGCUUCCUCUUCUCAAUGCACACGACACAAUGUGUUCUCCGUUCCGGUUGGUCUGAAAUGGUCACGUGAUGCACGGAGGCCAAUCGUCGUCAAGUGCCCUUUGCGUGAAGACAAAGGCCAUUCCUAGUCAAGGGCGGAAGUAGCCAAAGGUGUGAAACACGUCUGUGUGUCUGUCUGAGCUUUUCUGAGAAGCUCAGCAAGGGCGCCACCACCAGGACCAGAUAGGUUACUACACAAAAAUAAUGUAAAUUAAACACAGUCAGGUUGCACACAUUGGCACUAGUUGUUUUUUUUUUUAAAGACUUAGCCACACUGAUAAACUGCUAACAUCCAUUUCCAUUUGUGUUGUGAGGCUUCUGCGUUCUGGCUUUUGGUUCGCGUUCGUGAAGAACGACGCCUGGAAUUUGCGUCUCCUGCCGAACGCGGGGAACAAGCACUGGCCCGCGAGCGCAUUUCCGCGGCGGCGCUCCGAUCCCAGCGGCGUCGUUAAGGGAGUGCACGGGGCGUUAUUGGCGAGGCUUCAGCGCGCAUCAGAUCGCUGAGUGCUGUCCCGUUUGCAUUUUUCAUUGAUAUUGACAGCCAAGUGAAUACGGCCAAUCCAACCAAUUAGGAAAGCCAUUAGUUACGCGGCGCGGCAGCGAGCCAAUCAAUUUUCUGCUGACCCGCGGCGCCGCCGAAGGCCUCGCGCAGCCCGCGCUUUUAAUGGAAGCCGGGUGACAACACACAGGCGGCCAAUCAGAUUCCUUGUCAGAAACGCAGGGCUUUUUAUUUUUUUUUUUUACAUGAGUUAUUAGCAGUCUUGCGUCAAACAAACAUCCUGUUCAAGUGUCUGAAUAAAAAAAACACACACCCGAUGCAUAAAUGCCAGCCGACUUAAACAUUUAUCGUUCCGAAUGAAGAUUCGCGUCCAUUAUUUUCCUUAUUGUUGUUUUUCUGUUAUGAAUAGUAUUAUGUUUUUAAAAAAAAUCAGUGUUCUAAAGGACCGGGUUUGUAGCACUUAAGCGCGAGCGUGUACGGUCCUGAGAUUCACUUCACGUCUCUUAACACGUUUUCCUUUGCUCUGUUUUCAUUUGUUCAUGUGCGUAUUACUCAAGUCGUUGGAAUGUGCGGUGGAAUAUUGCAGACUGCAGCCCGUAUUGUAGGGCUUUGCUUUCAUGUCAUGUGCCUGUGUCAUGUUAGGGUCAAACUGCCAUACUGCUGGUCCCCUGCAUAACAUGACCCAUCGCAGCUGUGUCCCGACCCUUCCAUGCCCUGCCCAUGCCCCUCCCAUGCACCCACUCACGCCCAGCCCACACUCCCAGCACCGAGGAGAGCUCAAUUUGUUCGUUUUUUUUGGUCUUACAUACCAAAGAGCCUGAGCUGUGAUUGUUUUGGCCGUCCUGAUCAGUACAUUCCCAAGCAUGUCCUCCACGAAAAGGAGCACGUCUCUCGAGGUCAGGCCCGCACACCCCGCUCGCCGAUCUUUUCUAGAAGAUUCCAUUUGGUCAAGCGUUUGCGGCCUUUGACCUGCGGGACAUCUGUUCGCAUUCCCCAUAUAGUUUUCACACCUCUGAGGGGACUGGAAACUGCUGCGGAAGGGAUGGCUCUCUUUUUAUUAAGUCAUAUUUACAGGCCUAAAUAAUGGGAGAGAGUAACAGCAGCGGGUUAACUUUUGUGCCUAGUUAGCGGGCCGGUCUUUUCGUAAAGAGGUCCGGGGAAUUUCAACAGGCCCAGUGUAAUCGUAUUGUACAGGUCCUGUGUGAUUGAAGUGUACUCGCCUGGUGGACUUUGACGGUGGAGCUUUGAACUGCAGGCUGAGGGAAGACUAUCACUGUGGCUCUCCAAGGUGCUGAUCUGGAAAUCUCAUCUCUGGGAAGCAACCUUAAAGAGUGAAUAGUCCGAAUGUCCUCUGUACCAACUAAUAAUGUACACUGUAUUAUGUAAAUGUGAAUUUAUUAGACUUUUGCAGCAGAUACACAAUCGAAUAUAAAAGUGAACAAAUGAAUCGACUAGUGAAAAUAAUAAACCAAACUAUACUCACCUGCAAGCCAAA
Long non-coding RNA from Anguilla anguilla (European eel), 4489 nucleotides. RefSeq lists it as uncharacterized. The record is from RefSeq and is a predicted model, not a curated record. The transcript is spliced from 2 exons. NCBI's taxonomy places the organism in Eukaryota, Metazoa, Chordata, Actinopteri, Anguilliformes, Anguillidae.